AUUGAACGCUGGCGGCAGGCCUAACACAUGCAAGUUGAGCGGCGGCGGACGGGUGAGUAAUGCGUAAAGAACUUGCCUCACAGGCAGGGACAACAUUUGGAAACGAAUGCUAAUACCUAAUCCUGUGAAAGAGCUUUGCGUCCAAUUAGCUAGUUGGAGAGGUAACGUCUCACCAAGGUGAUGAUGGUUAGCCGGCCUGAGAGGGUGAUAGGCCACAAAGGAAAUGAGACACGUCACGUACUCCUACGGGAGGCAGCAGUGGGGGAUAUUUAGCAAUGGACCAAAGUCUGAAUCAGCAAUACUGUGUGAACGAUGAAGUUUUCGGAAUGUAAAGUGCUUUCAGUUGGGAAACGGUACCAACAGAAGAAGUGACGGCUCAAUACGUGCCAGCCGCCGCAGUAAUAC
RNAcentral lists this ribosomal RNA (405 nucleotides) under uncultured bacterium. RNAcentral describes it as "partial 16S ribosomal RNA". It matches the Rfam family "Bacterial small subunit ribosomal RNA", at positions 30 to 526 of the family's 1533-position model. The record is from RNAcentral.